CAAAAGUUGUAGGGCUCAAUGAUGCAGUGCUUGCUGGCACACCAGUAGAAGACCAGGACCUGCCCUUUGCUCAGGCUGCUCAGACAUGCUCAGCAUGAGAACAACUGCCUGUGAAUGAAGAGUGCGUGGAGGAGUUCCUCCUAGGGCAGAGGCACACGAGCAGUGAAUAUUUGUCCAGUGAGGCUGCCUUGUGGUGCUCCCUAUCCUGCUAUCACCUAAACAAGGAAGAACCUGCAGCAAGAAGGUCAUAAGGCUCCUUGAAAAUGAGUGGAGGGCUGGCCUUGUGGGCUGCUCAUAUUCUCUGUUUGAACACAAAUGUGUACAUAGAGCAAAGAAGAUACAAAUUGCAUCUCAGCGCAGGAAACCAAGUUUUCCCAAGUUCAGAGAAGAAACAUGAUUAUUGGCAUCUGCCAAGUCCAUGUAUAAUAUGGAGCAACUCACUGUUUUAGUGAAUUGAAGUAAAAAAAAAAAAAAAAAGAACAUGAGGGCUUAUAAUUUAAAACUUACAAGUCAUUUGCACAGCUCAGGAUUAGGACCACAUGGAAAACUUAAGCUCUGGUUCUCUACUAAGUUCAGAAUAAUGAUCAUUACAGUAUUAACAGUAGUCUUUUAAUGUAGUACUUAAAGCAAGAGUAACUAAUGGACUAGGUGCUGGCUAAGCAUCUAAGGGGACAGUCUCAAUUCCAAAGACCUUUACAAGCUGGGACAGAUAGUCAGAAGGACUGAAGAGGAAGCAAGAUGCCAGCAGUGAAACUGGUUUAAGUAGAUGCACAGUGCCCACAUUGCUGAAGUGCUAGAAGACGUCCUCUGUGGAUCAGAAGACCAGAUCAGAUAUUCUUGGUCCCAAAGGCCAUGAUUCUUGUAUCACCAGCAAUUACCUCAGCAAUUCCUUUCUAAGGUUGUGAGGGUCCCACUUAAAACAAAGAUCUUUUCUGUCCAUCCUUCUCCUGUUAGAGGGUACUCCUGAACUACUCAUCUGUAGUUCUUGUUGUUUCCAGCUAAAAUUUAUAUGUGGUCAGCUCAUACACAUUUCCUGUGUAACUGUUGUACUUUAAGUUCUCUUUCUUUGCUCCUUAGACACUGCAGUCAUUUCCCUGCCACCUUUGUUUUCACUGGGCUGAGCAAUCCCAAGAGAUUUCAUCUCUGCUCGUUCAGUAGUUCCUCUUUUUGAGAGCUCCUCCAGGCCUUUGCUAGUCCUGAAGCCCUCCUCUGCAACACUUUUGGACACGAAUAACCUCCCUUGGUGAUAACCAGAAGU
This is a non-coding RNA of Phalacrocorax carbo (great cormorant), 1258 nucleotides long. Lineage: Eukaryota; Metazoa; Chordata; Aves; Suliformes; Phalacrocoracidae. The record is from RefSeq and is a predicted model, not a curated record.